Molecule: long non-coding RNA, 3682 nt
Organism: Panicum hallii
Lineage: Eukaryota; Viridiplantae; Streptophyta; Magnoliopsida; Poales; Poaceae
Exons: 14
Source: RefSeq, a predicted model, not a curated record
CAGCUCGCGGACGCUGCUGCUGGUUCGCUCGCUGAGGGAAAACUGGGCGCCGCCGGGUGCCACGACGCCUCGCUCACAGCCGUCCAGGCGUCCACCGCGCCGCCGGCGCCGGGAGCCGCGCCUAGCUGGAUGCCAUCCGCUUCGCCGCCGCCGGGUGCCGCACCACACUCCUGGUGUACAAGAAAAUCGAUUUCUGCUGCCUGCCAACUGUGAAUUUGUUACCAUCCAUCUGUCACAUGGACUUCCAGCCGGGCUUCAGACAUGGGAGCAGACAAGGUGGCAGUCAGAAUCAGCUUCACUGAAUGAUGAAUUGAGACUGUAAAUUGAUAUUGUCAUUAUAACAAGUUGAAACCAUCUGGCUCUGUUUUUAUCAGUGGAAUCUGAGGAAGAUUGGUCAGCAUCCUCUUCAGCAGAGUCUUCCAUCACGUCGGAAGCGACUGAUUCCUCUGUGCCUUGUUCAGUCAUUGUUUCAUCUUCCUGCACAACAUGGUGGAAGCAAUCAAUGUAUUGUACCUACAAAAACUGCUGCCUUCAGAAAUCACAAUAAAUAUGGUGGAUUAUUACUACAUGAGGUUCACAACACCAGCAACAGUGUCAUCAUGUGUAAGGUAAUGUGCGCUAACCUGCAGGAACACAUACUUGUUUCAAAGCAUGUUCCCUGAGAAAUAAAAUUAUCGUAAGUUUCAGGAGCCUAUUGCAAUAUUAAUUUUCUUCCUUGCUCCACAUGACUUGUUUGCUUAACUGUUGGUGUAGAUUAAAUAAAAUAUUCAAUUUAUGGUACUGCUAGACAGUUUAUUUACAAUCGCAGAUGGUGUUCAAAUAGUAUAUCAAAGAGGAACGUCUAGGAUUUAAAGUGUAACUCAUUUCCUUUUCCCUGGUAAGGAGGGCCACAGACAUGCAUAUGUACUAGUAAUAACAGUUUAGCGUACUAACUUAGCAUGGAGAAAUUAGAAGGUCCCGAGGCAAAAGUAACAAGAAUUUUAAGCAUCAGAGUAGAAUGUUUUCCCAGAUAAACCCAAAUAAGCGCUGCUAUAAUCUGACUUCUACGAAUCUGAACUCAAAAAUAAAUUGAUAAUGUAGCAUUACCUUUCUUGUACCACACAGAUUUUUGUACUGUGAUAACAUGUUGACCAUAGCUUUCGUUUCUCUGCCUCUAUGCAUCUCCUUCUCCUUUUCAUCAGCAAACUUGUAUAGAACUUUGCCACCCACUGCAGUUAGACGAUAGGAGAGAAACAAUAAGGUGCAGCUCAUGCCUCAUGACAGUACCCUCUGUUAAUGCCUAUGGUCAUCGAGCAUAGCUAUUGUAUUGCUGGUAUUUGUGCUUAAACUUGUGUACGCUGUUAAUGCCUAUGGUCGUGUUAUGCAAUCAUUUUUUGAGGCAACGACGGGGGAUGAGGAUCCCCACCUGAUCACUUUACCACUGAUCCUGGCGGAAGCCGGUAAUGGACGGUGCAAGCACCGCGGUACAAAUGGUGUGCCAAGGGCACAAAGUUUAGAGAGCGGGGGAACAAAGUAGAAAUUACAUCUGGAACAGAGAACUCCAGGUGUCCCUUGUGCAUAAAGUUGGGAGUUUUGGAAGCUACGCAUGCAGAAAAAUAACCGAAUGAAAUGAAUCGCAGCACAAAGAAUGGAAAGGAUUUGCCUGAAAGAUUAUAAAGAUCUUACUGAAAGGCAUCCACUUAGAGGGCCAGUGAACAUGGACAAGAACUAUGGUGGCCCUCGGGAAAUUCACUGCAGCCCAUAGAAUCAAGCUAAGAUUCUGCCUUUGCCAUCUGCUUCAGCAGGAGCAUGUCCUGAACAGGGGAAAGUGAGGAAUUGUCAGUUCAGAGAGAGCUAAAUAAGAGGAGAGGCUGGAAGUGUGGCCGUGGAUUUGGUUUACUUAUGGUGGGGUACCGUGUACAGCAUCAUCGAGCACGUCAGGAAAAGGUUUUUAUUCAGCUAUGGAAAUCGGUUGGAAGCUAGCGUGGUUGUCUCAAAGUUUCAGUAUGGCCUAUGAGUUGUGCGAAAAAUUUCUACACCAAUCCAAGAAGUUGAAGUACAUGCGUGUCCUUGGCGACUGACUUUUGAUGCUUCGCGAUGAAGUCGUCCCAUUAGAUGGCGAUUAUCACAGUUUUAUCGCAUCUCCCUGGCCGGCAAGGCAGUCAUGCUUUCACAGCAUCAAAGCAGGUUGCUUUCAAGCUGCAGAAGAAAUGUCCAUAAUAUGUCUGUCUGGUAUGGGAGCUUUGAAUUCUGGCGCACUGGUGAAUGACGAUUGGACAUUUGGACCUUGUUCUUUCUCCAGCAGUGCCUUUCAAAGCAUUCUUGCUCUCAAAGCUGUCAAUACAGUAAUCCACGUCAGGACAUCUCCUUCAGAUUUUUUUAACACGGACUGAAGAGCAUAUACCGGUAUCAUUCUUCGAGCUGGGCGACGUGAAGAUUGAGGCCGAAACUUCUUUGCAUUGGAAGCUCCAUGGGAGUUACUCAUGGUCAUGGCGUUGAACGGCUGCUACGUUGGAAGAAGAUAAUUCUUGCAAUAGUUCAGGUCGAAAUUCCGAUCAGACAGACGGACGAUUCACGAUUCAAUUGCAAAUGCAAGGCACCCACAGGGGUGAGACUUUGACAAACCUGGGCACUGGACACGACUUUCAAACGAAGAUCUUUUUUGUCUACCCCCAUGACGUUCUGUAAUCAACAAAUGGAAAUUACUGAUGGAAGGUCAUCACGAGAUUAAAUUACACAGCCAUUCUUGAAUUGCAGAGCGCAGAGCAUGAUUGGGCAAAAGAUCACGGUGGGGUAGCUCAAGGUUUGUCAUGGGUGAUGUCUGAUGGCCACUGUCCAGCCAUUCCCUUAUUGCGUCAGCUUCAUAGUAUUGGACAUAUGAAGUAGGAUGGCACACCACCAAGGUCUUCUGAUACUGAUUUAAAUGACAAUGAACAUAGCAUUGUCGAAGCAGACUUGAACAUUGGUUCAAGUACAGUCCAAGCCUCUGUUUGCAGAAUAAUGUGUGACCCCAGAGCUUUGUCUACAUUCCUGCAUUUCUUCAUGGCUAAGCUGAACAGCUUUCCUAGUGUAGAGGAAACGGAAAAAAAAUCAAGUUCGUUUCAAGUGGAGAAGAGGAAGCGGAAGAAGAGGGCGAGGGACGUACGGAAGGGCAGGAGCUUGGGAGGCGAGUAGACAUGGAGCAGCACGAAGGAGGCGGCGCCGGCGCCGGCGCCACGGGGGAACUUGUGCAGCGCCCAGAGCAGCGUGGCCCUGGACUCGGCCACCUCCCUCCCCACGGCCACGUACACCUUCUCGCCGGGGAGCGGCGGCUCCGGCGAAUCAUCGGCGUGCGGCGUGGGCGGCGAGGAGGAGCCGGCCGUGGCUGCAGUAGCCAUGCCCGUGCGCUGCAGGCUGCAGCUGCUUCGUCUGGUGCGUUUGGCCUGCUGCCUUGGCUGUCCAAGGCGGCCGGCGGGCGGUUGCUUUGCUUGUCGGGGUCCUGCCUGCCAUUUCUGGGCCCCUGUACCCAUUUAUAUAAUGGUUUCUACCCGCCCAACACGCAGAAAAUUUCCUUGUUACACUAGUGUAUUUAUGUUGUUUCAUCACAUAGUACUUAAAAUCGCCAUUUUUUUAUCUACUUUUCUUCAUUCACGCGUCGUUGUAGAGAGGACUAUAGAUGACUGCUCGAUUUAUACGAGUUUUGAGGAUGUGCAUCUAGUAUUUA